Molecule: ribosomal RNA, 253 nt
Filed under: uncultured bacterium
Lineage: Bacteria
Description: partial 16S ribosomal RNA
Rfam family: Bacterial small subunit ribosomal RNA
Source: RNAcentral
UACGUAGGGCGCAAGCGUUGUCCGGAAUUAUUGGGCGUAAAGAGCUCGUAGGCGGUUUGUCGCGUCGGUUGUGAAAACCCAAGGCUCAACCUUGGGCCUGCAAUCGAUACGGGCAGACUAGAGUACUGCAGGGGAGACUGGAAUUCCUGGUGUAGCGGUGAAAUGCGCAGAUAUCAGGAGGAACACCGGUGGCGAAGGCGGGUCUCUGGGCCGUAACUGACGCUGAGGAGCGAAAGCAUGGGGAGCGAACAGG